Molecule: long non-coding RNA, 268 nt
Organism: Glycine soja
Lineage: Eukaryota; Viridiplantae; Streptophyta; Magnoliopsida; Fabales; Fabaceae
Exons: 3
Source: RefSeq, a predicted model, not a curated record
ACUCAAAGAGAACUUCACAAACCUGAGUUUGAUCGUUCUUGCAUACAUUUGGAGUUUGACAUAUCCGGGACUGGCAUAAUGAUUGUGGGAUCUGAGUUUGUGCAAAAGUAUGUUGGUGAGGGUCCACGAAUGAAACAACUCUUUGUUGAGAUCUAAUGCUACCCUUUUCUCUGAUGGCCAUCAUCACCAAUCACAAAUGUUGAACUUCUCUUCUCCAAAGUCAGAGUCUUUGUUGGUAGAUAAGGCUUCCUCAAAUGCCACAUUGCCU